This 73-nucleotide transfer RNA is filed under the name Lepilemur mustelinus (weasel lemur). Its description in RNAcentral is "tRNA-Ser". It matches the Rfam family "tRNA". Rfam says of the family: Transfer RNA (tRNA) molecules are approximately 80 nucleotides in length. Their secondary structure includes four short double-helical elements and three loops (D, anti-codon, and T loops). Lineage: Eukaryota; Metazoa; Chordata; Mammalia; Primates; Lepilemuridae. The record is from RNAcentral.
UUGGAGAAAGUCAUGAUGGUUAUGUGGUUGGCUUGAAACCAAUUAUAGGGGGUUCAAUUCCUUCCUUUCUCAU